Long non-coding RNA from Brassica napus (rape), 236 nucleotides. RefSeq lists it as uncharacterized. The record is from RefSeq and is a predicted model, not a curated record. Lineage: Eukaryota; Viridiplantae; Streptophyta; Magnoliopsida; Brassicales; Brassicaceae. The transcript has 3 exons.
CGAUCUCGAACCCGACUCUCUCUCUCCAUCUCUCCAUCUCGAACCCAGCUCAUCUCAUCUCGAAGCUCUCUUCUCCAUGGCAUCUCAUCUCAAAGCUCUCUCUUCUCCAUAGCUUCUCGUUCAGCAUUUGCGGCAAAUAAGUGUGUUCUGUGUUCAGCCUCUUGUCUCAAGCUUCUCUCAAGCUCUCCGAAGCUUCUUAAGAGAUCUUAGAAACGAGGCUAAGGAGCUCAAUUGUA